GUGUGCUUAUAUGGACCAAAUAUGGAUAGUCCUGAUUUUUUUGAUAAUAUUAUGGGCAUUGUUGAUGAUUUUGAAAAUGAAAGUUACAUAAUUUGUGGUGACUUCAAUCUUGUACAGAACCCUUAUAUAGAUUAUUGUAACUACAAACAUACUAAUAAUCCUAAGGCUAGAGAUAGUAUUUUAGGAAUCAUAGAAGAAAGAAGUUUAAUAGAUCCAUUUAGGGAGCUUUAUCCCAAUGUCCAAAGGUAUACUUGGAGAAAAAGAACUCCAUUUAAACAGGCUAGAU
This 286-nucleotide long non-coding RNA is filed under the name Mytilus galloprovincialis (Mediterranean mussel). Lineage: Eukaryota; Metazoa; Mollusca; Bivalvia; Mytilida; Mytilidae. The record is from RNAcentral.